This 390-nucleotide ribosomal RNA is filed under the name Limosilactobacillus mucosae. RNAcentral describes it as "bacterial SSU rRNA". It matches the Rfam family "Bacterial small subunit ribosomal RNA", at positions 194 to 571 of the family's 1533-position model. The record is from RNAcentral. Lineage: Bacteria; Bacillati; Bacillota; Bacilli; Lactobacillales; Lactobacillaceae.
UCAAAUUUAAAAGAUGGCUUCGGCUAUCACUUUGGGAUGGACCUGCGGCGCAUUAGCUUGUUGGUAGGGUAACGGCCUACCAAGGCUGUGAUGCGUAGCCGAGUUGAGAGACUGAUCGGCCACAAUGGAACUGAGACACGGUCCAUACUCCUACGGGAGGCAGCAGUAGGGAAUCUUCCACAAUGGGCGCAAGCCUGAUGGAGCAACACCGCGUGAGUGAAGAAGGGUUUCGGCUCGUAAAGCUCUGUUGUUAGAGAAGAACGUGCGUGAGAGCAACUGUUCACGCAGUGACGGUAUCUGACCAGAAAGUCACGGCUAACUACGUGCCAGCAGCCGCGGUAAUACGUAGGUGGCAAGCGUUAUCCGGAUUUAUUGGGCGUAAAGCGAGCG